This 459-nucleotide ribosomal RNA is filed under the name uncultured bacterium. Its description in RNAcentral is "partial 16S ribosomal RNA". It matches the Rfam family "Bacterial small subunit ribosomal RNA", at positions 338 to 795 of the family's 1533-position model. The record is from RNAcentral.
CCUACGGGCGGCAGCAGUGAGGAAUAUUGGUCAAUGGGCGGGAGCCUGAACCAGCCAAGCCGCGUGAGGGAAGAAGGUCCAGCGUAUUGUAAACCUCUUUUGUCAGGGAACAAAGGCGGGGACUAGUCCCCGGAUGAGGGUACCUGAAGAAAAAGCAUCGGCUAACUCCGUGCCAGCAGCCGCGGUAAUACGGAGGAUGCGAGCGUUAUCCGGAUUUAUUGGGUUUAAAGGGUGCGCAGGCGGCCUGUUAAGUCAGCGGUAAAAGGUCGGGGCUCAACCGCGGUGAGCCGUUGAAACUGGCAGGCUGGAGUUGGGGCGAAGUACGCGGAAUGCGCUGAGUAGCGGUGAAAUGCUUAGAUAUCACGCAGAACCCCGAUAGCGAAGGCAGCGUACCGGCUCCAGACUGACGCUGAGGCACGAGAGCGUGGGUAGCGAACAGGAUUAGAUACCCCAGUAGUC